This 425-nucleotide ribosomal RNA is filed under the name uncultured bacterium. Its description in RNAcentral is "partial 16S ribosomal RNA". It matches the Rfam family "Bacterial small subunit ribosomal RNA", at positions 354 to 796 of the family's 1533-position model. The record is from RNAcentral.
GUGGGGAAUAUUGCACAAUGGGGGAAACCCUGAUGCAGCGACGCCGCGUGGAGGAAGAAGGUCUUCGGAUUGUAAACUCCUGUUGUUGAGGAAGAUAAUGACGGUACUCAACAAGGAAGUGGCGGCUAACUACGUGCCAGCAGCCGCGGUAAAACGUAGGUCACAAGCGUUGUCCGGAAUUACUGGGUGUAAAGGGAGCGCAGGCGGGAAGACAAGUUGGAAGUGAAAUCCAUGGGCUCAACCCAUGAACUGCUUUCAAAACUGUUUUUCUUGAGUAGUGCAGAGGUAGGCGGAAUUCCCGGUGUAGCGGUGGAAUGCGUAGAUAUCGGGAGGAACACCAGUGGCGAAGGCGGCCUACUGGGCACCAACUGACGCUGAGGCUCGAAAGUGUGGGUAGCAAACAGGAUUAGAUACCCGAGUAGUCC